UAAGUUUUAGUUUAAAUAAAAAUUUUUGACUGUUAAUCAGAAGAAGCUGUGAAGCAAACUUAG
RNAcentral lists this transfer RNA (63 nucleotides) under Corbicula fluminea. RNAcentral's name for it is "tRNA-Asn". RNAcentral also lists the same sequence under 1 other name. Lineage: Eukaryota; Metazoa; Mollusca; Bivalvia; Venerida; Cyrenidae. The record is from RNAcentral.